Molecule: ribosomal RNA, 253 nt
Filed under: uncultured bacterium
Lineage: Bacteria
Description: partial 16S ribosomal RNA
Rfam family: Bacterial small subunit ribosomal RNA
Source: RNAcentral
UACGUAGGGUGCAAGCGUUAAUCGGAAUUACUGGGCGUAAAGCGCGUGUAGGCUGCUUCGCAAGUCGGAUGUGAAAGCCCUGGGCUCAACCCAGGAAGUGCAUUCGAUACUCCAAGGCUAGAGUACUGGAGAGGUGGGUGGAAUUCUCGGUGUAGAGGUGAAAUUCGUAGAUAUCGGAAGGAACACCUGUGGCGAAAGCGGCUCACUGGACCAUAACUGACGCUGAGGCGCGAAAGCUAGGGGAGCAAACAGG